GACGAACGCUGGCGGCGUGCUUAACACAUGCAAGUCGAACGGUGAAGCGCCUUCCUUUUUGGUGGGUGUGGAUGAGUGGCGAACGGGUGAGUAACACGUGAGUAACCUGCCCCCUUCUUCUGGAUAACCGCAUGAAAGUGUGGCUAAUACGGGAUAUUCUGGGUCUGUCGCAUGAUGGGUCUGGGAAAGAUAUUGUUUCGGUGGGGGAUGGGCUCGCGGCCUAUCAGCUUGUUGGUGGGGUGAUGGCCUACCAAGGCGGUGACGGGUAGCCGGCCUGAGAGGGUGGACGGUCACACUGGGGCUGCGACACGGCCCAGACUCCUACGGGAGGCAGCAGUGGGGAAUAUUGCACGGUGGGCGCAAGCCUGAUGCAGCGACGCCGCGUGAGGGAUGGAGGCCUUCGGGUUGUGAACCUCUUUCGCCAGUGAAGCAGGCCUGCCUCGUUUGUGGGUGGGUUGACGGUAGCUGGAUAAGAAGCGCCGGCUAACUACGUG
This 494-nucleotide ribosomal RNA is filed under the name uncultured bacterium. RNAcentral describes it as "partial 16S ribosomal RNA". It matches the Rfam family "Bacterial small subunit ribosomal RNA", at positions 28 to 507 of the family's 1533-position model. The record is from RNAcentral.